Molecule: long non-coding RNA, 1585 nt
Organism: Homo sapiens (human)
Lineage: Eukaryota; Metazoa; Chordata; Mammalia; Primates; Hominidae
Gene: MIR99AHG
Product: mir-99a-let-7c cluster host gene
Source: Ensembl
CUAUGACACUUAGAGAAGAUGUCUUUUGAUUUUUCCCAUCUAACUAGAAAUUUCUGGCCUUCUUCAACCUUCAUGUAAUAGUGAAUUUAUUGAUACUGCAUUUGCAAGGUUGACGUUUCAUUUCUAAGAAAAGAAUGUUUACUACAAUUAGAUGAGAAGAGUCUCUUCUGGUCAAAGAAGAUCUCUUAAGAGUAGUUCACAUGGGGAAAAGAAAAAUGGAUCUGAGAACGCUGUCUGGGCUUGGUACCAAGAGCUGGUAUUUCACAGCAGCGACCGCCUCACAGACGAGCUGUGGGAAGCAGGAGGGAGACUCUCUCUUAGGGUGCCACUACUAUGGAGACACAGCUGGGCUGAACAAGAUUUGCUUCAAACGACAACAAGAGAGACAGAAAGUAUCUGGUUCAACCGCUGCCCGAGCAGGCAGGCACCAGAAGAGCUAGCAGCCAAUCCGGCCAUGCUCGAAGCCAGCUCUGCAGCUCAGCCAAUCAGUGACAUCAUUGCUUUCUUUAGCUUGCCCAUGGUGAUGUGAAGAUGAGAAGAAAUAGCAAGGCCCAACCAGUUCUUCAUCUGGAGACAGUUCAACGUUCUGCAAACCAGAUCUUCAGGAAUUUUACUGGGAUAAUUAUCCAAAUAAAUUGCAAGCAUUCUAUCCAAAUGGAGCUCUUUCUGAGAUGAAGAGAAUUCUCAAUGUCAAGAUUUGAACAAGAAGAGAAUGGAAUACACAAUAUGGACAUCCAUAAAAAUUCAUCAGAGAGCAUUUUACUACUGAGCUGCAAAGGGAAAAACUUAAAAUGGAUAUGAAAAGUGAAGAAAGUGAUCAUAGGAGAAAACCAUUUCAGAUCAACCACCUCAGAAGAGCCAGAUUCCACUUCUGUGGCCAGGACUUUUACAUUAUGGCUGGUCCGAUUGUUUUACCCUGCGUUCUAUGCUACUAAACCUUGGAUCAUUCCUAAAGUACAAAUUCUGUUCUCGAACCACAAACAAGGCUAAAAGAUCGGAGGAAAUUCAGUGAAUAUACAGGAUUGGGGUUGUGUAUUUUUAAAAGUAUUGAGCUUUAUAAUGUAAUUAUUCAAGAAAUAGAAUCAUGGUUUUUUUAUGAUGUUGCCAGCAUUUUAAAUUACAUGUUUAUUAAGUGGCAUUGCUCAAAUAACUACAGAGUAUGCGUGGAAAUAUUUGCUGUCUGAAUAGUUUGGAGAUUCAAAGAGAAAAAUCAAGCUUCAGAGGUAUUAAAUUAUGACAUGCAGAAAAGUUUUUGUUUUGUUCUUAACUGCAACGGUAUAUAUUUAAAUCCGAUUUAAAGUAUUAUAUGUCCUGGGCCCACCUUACCAGUUGUGCUGUAUAGCAGUGUAAUGGGAAGCAAAAUUUCAAUUAGGGUCCCAUUAACUGGCAUAUAAUCCUUCUUUAAUGUAAUAGAGGCUAUGGUGUUGCUGUACAAAUCUGCUAGAAGCAGAUUUUAACCCAUGUUUAGUCUCUUUCUUUGGAUCUAAUGGAAUGACUCUUAACUGUUCAUUGUCUGCAUUGUUUCUCAUAUUCUUCAUUAUUUUAAGGUCUGGAAUUAGUCUAUAAAUGGUCGUCGUGAUUACUC